CGGGGUGCAGCAGGCGCGAAAACUUUGCAAUAAGCGAAAGCUUGACAGGGCUAUCCCGAGUGCCAUCCGCUGAGGAAGGCUUUUACCCAGUCUAGAACGCUGGGGGAAUAAGGAGAGGGCAAGUCUGGUGUCAGCCGCCGCGGUAAUACCAGCUCUCCGAGUGGUGUGGAUGUUUAUUGGGCCUAAAGCAUCCGUAGCUGGCUAAGUUAGUCCCUUGUUAAAUCCACCGAAUUAAUCGUUGGAUUGCGGGGGAUACUGCUUGGCUAGGGGACGAGAGAGGCAGACGGUAUUUUCGGGGUAGGGGUGAAAUCCUAUAAUCCCGGGAAGACCACCAGUGGCGAAGGCUGUCUGCUAGAACGCGCCCGACGGUGAGGGAUGAAAGCUGGGGGAGCGAACCGGAUUAGAUACCCGGGUAGUCCCAGCUGUAAACGAUGCAGACUAGGUGUUUGGACGGCCACGUGCCGUUCUAGUGCCGCAGGGAAGCUGUUAAGUCUGCCGCCUGGGGAGUACGAUCGCAAGAUUGAAACUUAAAGGAAUUGGCGGGGGAGCAC
RNAcentral lists this ribosomal RNA (551 nucleotides) under uncultured archaeon. RNAcentral's name for it is "bacterial SSU rRNA". It matches the Rfam family "Archaeal small subunit ribosomal RNA", at positions 326 to 879 of the family's 1478-position model. The record is from RNAcentral.